RNAcentral lists this transfer RNA (97 nucleotides) under Biscogniauxia mediterranea. RNAcentral's name for it is "tRNA-His". It matches the Rfam family "tRNA". Rfam says of the family: Transfer RNA (tRNA) molecules are approximately 80 nucleotides in length. Their secondary structure includes four short double-helical elements and three loops (D, anti-codon, and T loops). The record is from RNAcentral. Lineage: Eukaryota; Fungi; Ascomycota; Sordariomycetes; Xylariales; Xylariaceae.
GGUGAUAUCGUCUAGUGGUUAGGACAACACGUUGUGGUUCGUUCAUCCCGAACAACAAAGUCCCGUGUAAACGCCGGUUCGAUUCCGGCUAUUGCCA